CCACUACGCACGGUCCCUACUGUUGAUUAUUUAUUAUUGAUUAAAAUAUAUUCAGCUUUUUGUACCAUAACAAUAUACCUAAUAAAAGAUUAGUAAGUUGAGUUGGGUGAGCUAAAUAAGUUAAGUAAGGUUGCGGUCCACAAUAAACCUAACGGUAAAAGACCCAAUAAUAGAUCUAAUGUUCAGAUGAAUUGAGUCAGAUUGAAAUUCGUAAGCGCUAUACUUGAGCCCUUAAGUGUGAUGUGUGUGUUCUUUCUAUCACAUGUGUUUUUGGAAUUGUGGUUAUAUCCACAUGUGGUAUCAAAGCCGGUGGCACGAGGGUGAGACAUCUUUGUUAUAAGUAAAGCUGUCCAAAAUAUUNAUCUAUUUGAGCGGGUCUGAAUAGUGACUACCCGUAUACUACCCGUUCAAGACCGGAUAUGGAUCGGGUCUAGAUCGGGUACGGAUAUCCGUAUAAAUAUAUUUUUUUUAUAAAUUUUAUUAAAUAGUCAAUAGACAAACUAUAUUGUUGACAAUGAAAUAUUGUUGGCGGAAAUAAAAUAAAAAAAAAAGAGUAAAAAACAAAGAGUAAAAAAAUUAGAAAAAAAGUAAUGAGUAAAAGAGGCAGCUAGGGUUUCAUUAUGAUGAAAAUAUAUAGCGACUCAUCAUCUAUAAGUCAUAUUAAAAUUGAUCCUUCAACUUCAAAAGUUUUUUUUUUUAUUUACUAUCAGAUAUUUCAUCGGGUUCGAGUCCAGGUCUGGAUUUGAAAACUAUUCCGGACCCUACCCGUUUAAAAGUUAGGUUCGGGUCCGGUCUAAAUCGGAUAGGGGUAUAAAAUAUCCGGACCCAUACCCGAAACUUUAAUGGGUAAUUUGUUUUAUCCGUAUACUAUUCAUUUUUUAUCGGGUCCGGUUUGGGUCCGGUUCGGGUCUGGGUAGGGUCCGGAUCGGGUAUGGGAUAUCGGAUAUUUUGG
This 952-nucleotide long non-coding RNA is filed under the name Ananas comosus (pineapple). RNAcentral's name for it is "long non-coding RNA (ACOM_LNC034979)". The record is from RNAcentral. Lineage: Eukaryota; Viridiplantae; Streptophyta; Magnoliopsida; Poales; Bromeliaceae.